RNAcentral lists this ribosomal RNA (289 nucleotides) under Hydrotaea chalcogaster. Its description in RNAcentral is "partial 16S ribosomal RNA". Lineage: Eukaryota; Metazoa; Arthropoda; Insecta; Diptera; Muscidae. The record is from RNAcentral.
UCUGGUAUGAAAGGUUUGACGAAAUAUUAACUGUUUCAUAAAUAUUUAUAAUAGAAUUUUAUUUUUUAGUCAAAAAGCUAAAAUGUAUUUAAAAGACGAGAAGACCCUAUAAAUCUUUAUAUUUAGAUUAUUAUAAUUUUGUAGAAUUUUUUUAUUUUAAUAAUUAAUAAUAUUUUAUUGGGGUGAUAUUAAAAUUUAAUAAACUUUUAAUUUUAAUAAUCAUUAAUUAAUGAAUAAUUGAUCCGUUAUUAACGAUUAAAAAUUUAAGUUACCUUAGGGAUAACAGCGA